Molecule: long non-coding RNA, 770 nt
Organism: Alosa sapidissima (American shad)
Lineage: Eukaryota; Metazoa; Chordata; Actinopteri; Clupeiformes; Clupeidae
Exons: 3
Source: RefSeq, a predicted model, not a curated record
AUUAACGUCAAUUCCAGUUUUGUUAACACAGAUAGGAAGCCAAGUUGUAGCUCCGAACUUACUAACAAUAGCCUAAGCAUGAUCAAUGGCAACGUCUGACUCUGAUAGGCCUGUCUAUACAGAGAGAGAUGAAGAGACUGUCUGACUGACUUUUGUACAAAAAAGUGAAAUAAUACUGUUUAUAAUAUUUUUCCCCUCAGGACCAGAUGGCUGUGUGACAUGUUUUCAGUUCUGUGCAAGGAACCACCAUCACACCAUGGAAGACGUCAAUGUCAACAGCAGAAGGAAAAUUACUCUGCAGGCCCUUCCCAUCUUCUUGUGGGAAGAUGGAUUUUUUAAGACCUGGAAUGCAGAAGAAAUUGACCGUCCAGACUUCUCGGAUGCAGCUGUAUUCUCACUGUCUCGGGUGAUACAGACUCCCUUGUGAAGUUUGGUCCUGCUAUCCAUUCUAUAGUUCUUGACGGAGAUAUUGUUGUGUGAUAUAGCAGAGUUGACAGAGACGUUAAUUUCCCUAUUUGGCUUAAUUUGUGCACUUCAUCUCGAUUAUCCAAAGCAAUUGUCCUACACAUUUAAGUUCAUUCAAAAAAUUAUAAUGGGUUUGGAAGACACCAAUAAAUUGCUGAUGAUGGAUGAGUAAGCAGUCUGUUUUCCAAAUCUCAUGGUUGGUACUGCCAGCAUGUUAAUACUCAAGCAAGCAAUGGAGCUUUUCACUUUUAUUUAUGUUGGCCUAUUAUUUUGUUAUUUGAGUAUUAUUACCUUUGUUAAAGUGG